This 26-nucleotide small RNA is filed under the name Bombyx mori (domestic silkworm). RNAcentral's name for it is "ovarian small RNA-30216". Lineage: Eukaryota; Metazoa; Arthropoda; Insecta; Lepidoptera; Bombycidae. The record is from RNAcentral.
UCUUGUAGAUGGCAGUAUCUAGGAAA